CUUUUACAAUGAAGAGUUUGAUCCUGGCUCAGGAUGAACGCUAGCUACAGGCUUAACACAUGCAAGUCGAGGGGCAGCAUUUCAGUUUGCUUGCAAACUGGAGAUGGCGACCGGCGCACGGGUGAGUAACACGUAUCCAACCUGCCGAUAACUCGGGGAUAGCCUUUCGAAAGAAAGAUUAAUACCCGAUGGCAUAAUUAGACCGCAUGGUCUUGUUAUUAAAGAAUUUCGGUUAUCGAUGGGGAUGCGUUCCAUUAGGCAGUUGGUGAGGUAACGGCUCACCAAACCUUCGAUGGAUAGGGGUUCUGAGAGGAAGGUCCCCCACAUUGGAACUGAGACACGGUCCAAACUCCUACGGGAGGCAGCAGUGAGGAAUAUUGGUCAAUGGGCGCAGGCCUGAACCAGCCAAGUAGCGUGAAGGAUGACUGCCCUAUGGGUUGUAAACUUCUUUUAUAUGGGAAUAAAGUUUUCCACGUGUGGAAUUUUGUAUGUACCAUAUGAAUAAGGAUCGGCUAACUCCGUGCCAGCAGCCGCGGUAAUACGGAGGAUCCGAGCGUUAUCCGGAUUUAUUGGGUUUAAAGGGAGCGUAGGUGGACAGUUAAGUCAGUUGUGAAAGUUUGCGGCUCAACCGUAAAAUUGCAGUUGAUACUGGCUGUCUUGAGUACAGUAGAGGUGGGCGGAAUUCGUGGUGUAGCGGUGAAAUGCUUAGAUAUCACGAAGAACUCCGAUUGCGAAGGCAGCUCACUGGACUGCAACUGACACUGAUGCUCGAAAGUGUGGGUAUCAAACAGGAUUAGAUACCCUGGUAGUCCACACAGUAAACGAUGAAUACUCGCUGUUUGCGAUAUACAGUAAGCGGCCAAGCGAAAGCAUUAAGUAUUCCACCUGGGGAGUACGCCGGCAACGGUGAAACUCAAAGGAAUUGACGGGGGCCCGCACAAGCGGAGGAACAUGUGGUUUAAUUCGAUGAUACGCGAGGAACCUUACCCGGGCUUAAAUUGCAUUUGAAUAAUCUGGAAACAGGUUAGCCGCAAGGCAAAUGUGAAGGUGCUGCAUGGUUGUCGUCAGCUCGUGCCGUGAGGUGUCGGCUUAAGUGCCAUAACGAGCGCAACCCUUAUCUUUAGUUACUAACAGGUCAUGCUGAGGACUCUAGAGAGACUGCCGUCGUAAGAUGUGAGGAAGGUGGGGAUGACGUCAAAUCAGCACGGCCCUUACGUCCGGGGCUACACACGUGUUACAAUGGGGGGUACAGAAGGCAGCUACCUGGUGACAGGAUGCUAAUCCCAAAAGCCUCUCUCAGUUCGGAUCGAAGUCUGCAACCCGACUUCGUGAAGCUGGAUUCGCUAGUAAUCGCGCAUCAGCCAUGGCGCGGUGAAUACGUUCCCGGGCCUUGUACACACCGCCCGUCAAGCCAUGAAAGCCGGGGGUACCUGAAGUACGUAACCGCAAGGAGCGUCCUAGGGUAAAACUGGUAAUUGGGGCUAAGUCGUAACAAGGUAGCCGUACCGGAAGGUGCGGCUGGAACACCUCCUUU
Molecule: ribosomal RNA, 1534 nt
Filed under: Bacteroides thetaiotaomicron
Lineage: Bacteria; Pseudomonadati; Bacteroidota; Bacteroidia; Bacteroidales; Bacteroidaceae
Description: bacterial SSU rRNA
Rfam family: Bacterial small subunit ribosomal RNA
Source: RNAcentral